AUGUCCACAAGAGACCGUCACACUACAAACAUGGAAGGAGGGACUCCAGAGACCAGUCCUGGAGGAACGGAGAUCUGGAGCCGUACGGGGAGCAGGGUUACACCAGCAGAGAGGAGGACAACGAGAGCAUCACCUCCAGAGACAGACAUUAUCCUGAUGAGAUCAGGGACCAUUACGAUGACCCCUCCCCCUACACCAACAGCAGCUAUGGUAGCAGCUUCAGCAGUAGCAGAAGAACCACCCGCAGACGCCUGCUUCCUGCCACGCCCACAGGUGAGACCUGCACUGAACUGGGUCUCGUCUGGUGUUUUACUCUUCCUGUCUCUUCUUAACUUCUGUUUUGUUGUUUGUGAUGCUCGAGUUUCCAGAGUAAACACACUCAGCCAGAUCUCUAUGUGUAGCCCUGCCCCGAGCAAGGGCACCCCAAAGGGGUGGCCAGGGGUGGCCAUGGCCAGCCCUAGAAAAUACAUACGUUUCUGCUGCUCACCAUUUAAAAAAAGUUUUUAUCUCCAUAGUUUGUUUUUAGCACAGCAACAGGUGAAUUAA
This 546-nucleotide long non-coding RNA is filed under the name Nothobranchius furzeri (turquoise killifish). Its description in RNAcentral is "lncRNA (ENSNFUG00015023192.1)". The record is from RNAcentral. Lineage: Eukaryota; Metazoa; Chordata; Actinopteri; Cyprinodontiformes; Nothobranchiidae.